GGAAACACAGUUUGGUAAAAACCCCAUUGAAAAAAAACAACAUCAAAUCCACACUAACAACCAAUUCGCAGCCUUACAAAAGGAAUGCAAUGAAGAGGUUCCUGGUAACCAACUGGCUGUGAUAGAAGAAUCCCCAGUUUCAAAAAACACAACCAACAAAGAUAUCUCCACAUCAGACCUGGAAAAUGUGGUACAUCAACAAGAUGCUCCUAGCUCUUCAAAG
RNAcentral lists this long non-coding RNA (223 nucleotides) under Nicotiana benthamiana. RNAcentral's name for it is "long non-coding RNA (NBEN_LNC001213)". Lineage: Eukaryota; Viridiplantae; Streptophyta; Magnoliopsida; Solanales; Solanaceae. The record is from RNAcentral.